RNAcentral lists this ribosomal RNA (653 nucleotides) under uncultured organism. Its description in RNAcentral is "bacterial SSU rRNA". It matches the Rfam family "Bacterial small subunit ribosomal RNA", at positions 15 to 685 of the family's 1533-position model. The record is from RNAcentral.
GAUCCUGGCUCAGGAUGAACGCUGGCGGCGUGCCUAAUACAUGCAAGUCGAGCGGGAACCUUUGGAUUCGUCUGAAGGGGAGAGCGGCGGACGGGUGAGUAACACGUGGGUGACCUGCCCUGAAGAUGGGGACAACCACUGGAAACGGUGGCUAAUACCCAAUGUGCUCGGUAAUUCGUUUUGCCGAGUAAAGCUCCGGCGCUUCAGGAUGGGCCUGCGGCCUAUCAGCUAGUUGGUAGGGUAACGGCCUACCAAGGCAAGGACGGGUAGGGGACGUGAGAGCGUGGCCCCCCACACUGGCACUGAGAUACGGGCCAGACUCCUACGGGAGGCAGCAGUCGGGGAUAUUGCGCAAUGGACGAAAGUCAGACGCAGCGACGCCGCGUGGGCGAAGAAGGCCUUCGGGUUGUAAAGCCCUUUUCUGGGGGAAGAGAUAAGGACGGUACCCCAGGAAUAAGUGUCGGCUAAGUACGUGCCAGCAGCCGAGGUAAAACGUAGGACACAAGCGUUAUCCGGAUUUACUGGGCGUAAAGAGCGUUGAGGCGGUUCCGUAAGUUGGACGUGAAAGCCCUCGGCUCAAGUGAGGGAUGUCGUUCAAUACUGAGGGACUUGAGGGCAGCAGAGGGAGGUGGAAUUCCUAGUGUAGCGGUGAA